GAUGAACGCUGGCGGCGUGCCUAAUACAUGCAAGUCGAGCGAACGGACGAGAAGCUUGCUUCUCUGAUGUUAGCGGCGGACGGGUGAGUAACACGUGGAUAACCUACCUAUAAGACUGGGAUCACUUCGGGAAACCGGAGCUAAUACCGGAUCAUAUUUUGAACCGCAUGGUUCAAAAGUGAAAGACGGUCUUGCUGUCACUUAUAGAUGGAUCCGCGCUGGAUUAGCUAGUUGGUAAGGUAACGGCUUACCAAGGCGACGAUGCAUAGCCGACCUGAGAGGGUGAUCGGCCACACUGGAACUGAGACACGGUCCAGACUCCUACGGGAGGCAGCAGUAGGGAAUCUUCCGCAAUGGGCGAAAGCCUGACGGAGCAACGCCGCGUGUGUGAUGAAGGUCUUCGGAUCGUAAAGCUCUGUUAUUAGGGAAGAACAUAAGUGUGAGUAACUGUUCACAUCUUGACGGUACCAAAUCAGAAAGCCACGGCUAACUACGUG
Molecule: ribosomal RNA, 497 nt
Filed under: uncultured bacterium
Lineage: Bacteria
Description: partial 16S ribosomal RNA
Rfam family: Bacterial small subunit ribosomal RNA
Source: RNAcentral